UUUACGACGGCCAUGAUUCGAGCAGGCACUCGCGGUGCAUCUAGAUUAGCUAGUAACACGUGGAUAAUCUGCCCUAUGGUGGAGGAUAACCCCGGGAAACUGGGGAUAAUACUCCAUAAGUCAGGAGUACUGGAAUGUCUCCUAACUGAAAGUUGCGGCGCCAUAGGAUGAAUCUGCGGCCGAUUAGGUAGUUGUUGGGGUAACGGCCCAACAAGCCCGUAAUCGGUACGGGUUGUGGGAGCAAGAGCCCGGAGAUGGAAUCUGAGACACGAUUCCAGGCCCUACGGGGCGCACCCCGCGCGAAAACUUUACAAUGCAGGAAAUUUUGAUAAGGGAACCCCGAGUGCCCGUAAACGCGGGCUGUCCCGGUGUUUAAAACACAUCGGAAGAAAGGGCCGGGCAAGACCGGUGCCAGCCGCCGCGGUAAUACCGGCGGCUCGAGUGGUGACCACUUUUAUUGGGCUUAAAGCGUUCGUAGCUUGAUUUUUAAGUCUCUUGGGAAAUCUCACGGCUUAACUGUGAGGCGUCUAGAGAUACUGGGAAUCUAGGGACCGGGGAGAGGUAGAGGUACUUCAGGGGUAGAAGUGAAAUUCUGUAUCCUUGAGGACCACCGAUGGCGAAGGCAUCUUACCUGAACGGCUUCCACAGUGAGGGAACGAAAACCCGGGGGGGAGCGAACGGAUUAAUAUACCGGGUAUGUCCCCGCCGUUACACUAUUCGUUAUGUUCCGUUUCAUACAAUUACUCAGGGGGUGCGCAGAGAAACAGUGAAAAUGACUCG
RNAcentral lists this ribosomal RNA (780 nucleotides) under uncultured methanogenic archaeon. RNAcentral's name for it is "bacterial SSU rRNA". It matches the Rfam family "Archaeal small subunit ribosomal RNA", at positions 45 to 826 of the family's 1478-position model. The record is from RNAcentral. Lineage: Archaea; Methanobacteriati; Methanobacteriota.